AGAACACAGGAUAAGCAUUGAUUUUAUGAUUCAGAAAACUUAGCAGCUGAACUGGCAUUGAGGACACUCUGGCAGUGUCCACUAGCCUGUUGUCUUGAGGAGUUAUCUGAAUCCUUCCACAUUAGCUGGGGCGGGGGUGGAGAGGUCAGCAGAGGAGAAACGAGACCUGAUGCUGCCCUGAAUCUCCAGCUGGUGUUUGGUAUCUGGAGAAUUUGCAUGGCUGGCUUAGAGGAAGUAGACUACUCAUCACGUCUCAGUGCAGCCCAGCCACGGUUCACGUGCUCGACCGCCACAGGUGGGGAGCGGCUACCAUACAGGAGGACAGAGACCCACAUCAACACACAGCCCGAAAAUUAAAAUUCAAGUAAAUCAUGCUUGAGCUGCACACCUUCUUCCAAUGUCCUGACUCACUAACUCAAAUAUCUCAGCAGAGAGCCACCCACACUCAGAGCGACCUGCCGCGGGCCCGGGUGACGCAGGCUGCUGGCUCUCUUACCCCUUGGGAGUGCUGCAUGCCUCAAAUUAUUCAGAUUUCAGCCUGACUUGAAAUCACCAGACAACAAGCAAGCAGCAAGGAAGAGGGGAGACACUUGAAGGUGCUACCAGUAAUCCUCCGGGAGGGACCCAGGUUUAAGUGAGGAACGAGUUGUUAACAGGUCCACCUUAUGGGAAGAAAGAGGCGGGGAAUGCCAAAGCACCUAUGACAGCUGAGUGCACACUGUGUGCGCUGCCACAGCAUGACCUGCGUGCCCUCGGGGUGGGGAGGCAGCCCUCAUACGGGAAGUUCUCCUUACUCACAGGGAACAGUGAUGACGACAAGUGACAGCAAGGGUCUUAGCAACUCCUGAGCACUGAAUUUGCACCAAGCAAUUUGCUAAGUCACUUUUUUUACAGCAGCUCUGCAACUCAGGUAUUGUAAUACCUAUUGUACAGGUGAGGUGGUUUAGAUUAAAUAUCAUGCCCACCUGCUUAGGAGCUGGCCUGGUAUUUAAUCCUAAAUCUACCAGACUCCAAAGUCUGUGCCACAUGUCUUCUUAGUCAGACUCAGCCAGAGGGGCGCUGAGAGUGUGCCUGGACUUACGCUUUUCCUUGGAAGGAAAGUCAG
RNAcentral lists this long non-coding RNA (1105 nucleotides) under Equus asinus (donkey). RNAcentral's name for it is "lncRNA (ENSEASG00005028985.1)". Lineage: Eukaryota; Metazoa; Chordata; Mammalia; Perissodactyla; Equidae. The record is from RNAcentral.